Molecule: long non-coding RNA, 1055 nt
Filed under: Ananas comosus (pineapple)
Lineage: Eukaryota; Viridiplantae; Streptophyta; Magnoliopsida; Poales; Bromeliaceae
Description: long non-coding RNA (ACOM_LNC002542)
Source: RNAcentral
CAAUUAUAAACAUUUUCCUAUAGUAUAUCGAUCCAUAGUUUUAUGAAUAAUAAUGAAUAUUAAAUUUUGCUAUAUCAUAAGUUACCUCUUUUUCGCUCCAUAAAAUUUUUUCGUAAAUUACAACCGCAAACGCUCUUCCAUAUAAUAUAUAUGCGUAACACGUAAUAUAAUUACAAGCAAUAAUGAAUAUCGAAUUUCACUAUAUUUUAAAUUAUCCUUAUUUUUGCUCCAGUAAAAUUAAGAGGCAUGUGAAUCAACCGACUACUCUAAAAAAGUUUUGGGUUAGAAACCUACGGAACAAUAGUAAACUCAGUAGAUUUUUUCGUAAAUGAUAAUUAUAAACGCUUUUCCAUAGUACGCCCACAGUUUCAUGAAAAAUAAUGAAUAUUAAAAUUCACUAUUUUAUAACUUUUGCUUUCCUUUGCUCUAGCAACUAAAUUGAGCAGUAUAUGAAAUAACAGACUAAUCUAGAAAAGUUUUGAGUUUAAAAUCUACAAAUAAAUUCGAAACAUAUUUUUCGUAAACGAUAACUAUAAAUGUUUUUCCAUAAUAUAUCGAUCCAUAGUUUUAUGAAUAAUAAUAAAUAUUAAAUUUUACUAUAUCAUAAGUUAUCUUUUUUUCGCUCCAUAAAUUUUUUUCAUAAAUAACAACCGCAAACGCUCUUCCAUAUAAUAUAUAUACGUAACACGUAAUAUAAUUACAAGCAAUANGAUAACUAUAAAUGUUUUUCCAUAAUAUAUCGAUCCAUAGUUUUAUGAAUAAUAAUAAAUAUUAAAUUUUACUAUAUCAUAAGUUAUCUUUUUUUCGCUCCAUAAAUUUUUUUCAUAAAUAACAACCGCAAACGCUCUUCCAUAUAAUAUAUAUACGUAACACGUAAUAUAAUUACAAGCAAUAAUGAAUAUCGAAUUUCACUAUAUAUUAAAUUAUCCUUUCUUUUGCUCCAGUAAAAUCAAGAGGCAUGUGAAUCAACCGACUACUCUAAAACAGUUUUGGGUUAGAAACCUACGGAACAAUAAUAAACUCAGUAGAUUUUUUCGUAAAUGACAAUUAUAAAC